This 2740-nucleotide long non-coding RNA is filed under the name Theobroma cacao (cacao). RNAcentral's name for it is "long non-coding RNA (TCAC_LNC000258)". The record is from RNAcentral. Lineage: Eukaryota; Viridiplantae; Streptophyta; Magnoliopsida; Malvales; Malvaceae.
CAUCAACUCCUCUCUCUUCCAUGGCGGCUCCAUCACUAGUUUCAUUAAAAGCUCCAAGAUGACUACUUUGGAUGUUCUACAGACUAUGUAGUGCCUAAGGACUAUCUUUAACAACUAGCAAAGCAAUUAAAAUAACUCCAAACCAGGAUAACCCAAUGAAUUAGUGCAAAUUCUCCAAAACCAGAUCGAGAUUCACUAGGUGCUUGCAGAAUGAGGAAAAGGAUAAGCACUGGUAUAAAAAUGCUUAACUUUAGUUCAAUCCAACUAAAUGGUGUCAACUCUAAUAACUUCCAUCCACUUCAUACAUCUUAUUCAACAUUUAUUUUUUAUCUAGAGCAUUAAAGAAUCUAAAGUACAGUAAGACUCCGCUGACAGUUUAAUUACAACUAACUCCCAGCAAAGAGCCAAGAAAAAAGAAGAAAACUAAAAGGAGAACAAUACCAUAUCAACUGCCAACAUAGCAACAGAGGUCAAAACCCCGAGAGACAUUUGCAGUGAUUUAUGAAAUACAACAGGAAACUCCUAGAAAAUGAUGAGAGAGAUUAAAGCAUGAAAUCAACAAUAAGGAUGGUGCUUAGGAAAUAGAAGACUACCAACAGAAAGGAUUUAGGUUCAAUCUAGCAAAGCAUUUUGAGUAAUGCAACCACAAGUAAUAACCAGCGCCAGUAACUAUGAUAGCAAAAAACCACCAAGAAGAAUAACAUCGGAGAGAGCGCACCAGCGAGCAAAAUAGUUAGGGCUAGUGAUAACAGAGCUCAAACACAAAAAACAACAACUGUCAAUCUUCUGAAAUAAAAUGAUAAAUCUCUUUUGCUAUCUAACAAAUGUCAAAAUACUUCUGCAGACAAGAAUGAAAGCAGAAAUAAUCCCAAUACAUCCCAGUCCCAAAACAACUAUAAAAUCCAAUUCAUAGGAUACAUCAGAAACUAUAUAUUUACAAAAUCAUAAACUCUACAAAGAAAAUUAUCUUCCAUAAUCACAACUACCCAAAAUAAAAGAAUAAAAUUUGAUCAAGCAAUCACAUAAAUGACACACCUUUAAGAAAUAACAUAUAAUCAAUUUUACUAACCCACUCAUUACCCAUAAAAGAAAAAAAAAGAGAUGUACUUUUAGUCACUAAGUUCAGGUAAAAAAUUGAAGGAAAAAAUUCUGAUGGAAUUGAAUGGCGAACAGAAUUAAGGAAUGAAGUUCAUGCCCAAGGGUGAAAAACUGAUAGGUGAGAAAGAGUAUCGGAAAACAAUGAAACUGCUUCAUCAAAUCUGAUAAGUCAUUUCACUGCUAUAAAACGAAUAACGAUAGCACUGGAUUGCCAACUUAACAUAAACUAUAUACCUUAAAACUCAUGUACUACAUGAUAAUUGGAAAAUAUACCUUGUCUACUAGAUUUUUGCUUAUUUUCAGAGGGAGUGGGCAGGAUGUACCACUAGUAUGCUUCCAGGUUAAGAUGACAUAAACUUACAAAUACCAAGCUAUGCAAAUAAGGCUAAUAACAAAGAGUCAGAUGAAAAAGAAGAAUCAACAGCCUGUAAUAGUGUGAGAAAGGCAAAUGCUGGUGGAGCAAAUGCAGCAAAACAUAACAAUAAACACCAUAAAACUAAAAUUAUGCCUGCCAUAACUGACCAAUCAAGGCAAUUAUAACACCUAUAAAGGUUUAAUCCAGUAAUAAAUACUUCCAAACAUCAUCAACUCCUCUCUCUUCCAUGGCGGCUCUAUCACUAGUUUCAUUAAAAGCUUCAAGAUGACUACUUUGGAUGUUCUACAGACUAUGCAAAUCCCUAAGGAGUAUCUUUAACAACUAGCAAAGCAAUAAAAAUAACUCAGAACCAGGAUAACCCAAUGAAUUAGUGCAAAUUCUCCAAAACCAGAUCGAGAUUCACUAGGUGCUUGCAGAAUGAGGAAAAGGAUAAGCACUGGUAUAAAAAUGCUUAACUUUAGUUCAAUCCAACUAAAUGGUGUCAACUUUAAUAACUUCCAUCCACUUCAUACAUCUUAUUCAACAUUUAUUUUUUAUCUAGAGCAUUAAAGAAUCUAAAAUACAGUAAGACUCCACUGACAGUUUAAUUACAACUAACUCCCAGCAAAGAGCCCAGGAAAAAGAAGAAAACUAAAAGGAGAACAAUACCAUAUCAACUGAAAACAUAGCAACAGAGGUCAAAACCCCGAGAGACAUUUGCAGUGAUUUAUGAAAUACAACAGGAAACUCCUAGAAAAUGAUGAGAGAGAUUAAAGCAUGAAAUCAACAACAAGGAUUGUGCUUAGGAAAUAGAAGACUACCAACAGAAAGGAUUCAGGUUCAAUCUAGCAAAGCAUUUGAGUAAUGCAACCACAAGUAAUAACCAGCACCAGUAACUAUGAUAGCAAAAGACCACGAAGAAGAAUAACAUCGGAGAGAACGCAUCAGGGAGCAAAAUAGUUAGGGCUGGUGAUAACAGAGCUCAAACACAAAAAACAACAUCUGUCAAUCUUCUGAAAUAAAAUGACAAAUGUCUUUUGCUAUCUAACAGAUGUCAGAAUACUUCUGCAGACAAGAAUGAAAGCAGAAAUAAUCCCAAUACAUCCCAGUCCCAAAACAACUAUAAAAUCCAAUUCAUAGGAUACAUCAGAAACUAUAUAUUUACAAAAUCAUAAACUCUACAAAGAAAAUUAUCUUCCAUAAUCACAACUACCAAAAAUAAAAGAAUAAAAUUUGAUCAAGCAAUCACAUAAAUGACACACCUUUAAGAAAUAACAUAUAAUCAAU